CUCAGCAUUUCCAAUCCGACCCCGAUCUGGCCUCGUUAUCCCAGCGAAAUGGAGACACAGAAAAGGGUCAAGGAAAUCGAACCACUAAGAAUAAGGACGCCCAUGUCUGUGGCAGUGACCGCCGACCUCAGCGGGAGAUUGGGGACACGGAACUGAGCCCAGCGCUCUGACCCGAGGGCUGUGAUCUCCCUCACGUUAUCACUCACAGCAAAUAAAUUAGUUUGGCUGCCUUCAAAUUACGGAUGGUCCAAACAAACCAACCAACCAACCAGGAGCGACCAGUUGUGUACGCACGUGUAUUUUGUUCACAACUGCAGCACGCAGGUAUUUGCUUUAGAGGACUUUCUUUGCAAUGGGCUGGGGGGGCCGUUCUGACCUCCCGCACAGGGGGGUCUCCUCGCCCUUCCCAUUGCCCGGGCGGCGGAUCGGGCGCUGCAGGGGGGCUCUGCUGCAAAGCUGGGGAGGGAACAAAAAACUUUCCGAGGAGUUUUGCCGUUAAUAUGAUUCUGAAAAGUAUAGUAUAGUAAAGUAUAACGCUUUAGUCUGAGCACCUCCCGGACUCGGUAUCUUUAGAACUCUCCUGUUUGACCGCCGCGGUGCCCGGAGCCCGCCGGCUUCUGAGUGCGAACAGUCGGGAAUUUCGAGCCACCUUUUGCUCUCGCACAAAGGUAAAUCCAUCGGGCUGCCGCGGCCGCAGCAGUGAAACUCCAACCCCGCUCAGCUCUGAGCCGAGCGCAGCAGCAGCGCAGCAGCGGGUCGGUGCCGCGCAGCAUUGCGGUUCUGCUCCUUCCGAGGCGGAGCGUCCCGCGAGCAGCGGCCGCUUUGCAAAAGCAAAAGAGAGAUUUUUCCCUCGAGGCCGCGCGGCACGAGGCCGGCCGGCCGUAGGGCGUGUGCCGGGCGGGGGCUGCUGAGGGAUCCCCGCGCCGCCGGGCGGAGGGGACGCGGCGAUGCGGCCAUCCCGGGGGCUCCACGUCGGCACCGCAGGCUACAGUUAACAUAAGAGCAGCUGAACCAGUCCUUCAGUCACUACUGGUGGUGGCCUAGAGGAUGCCUCAAAAAUAGCAAGCAAGCACGUGGUGAUUGCUGCUUGGGAGCAUCUCCUUGUUCUAGAGGCAUGAGUUCCUGAACAACAUGCACCCAUGUGUGUCACAAGAAGUCCUGCAAGGAUGUUCUACUGCAGAGAAGUAAAGCCUGCAUUCUUGAGCAUCCACUUUGAAAUCACCAACUCAAAGAAGCCAGGAUCCACAUUACAUCCCCAGGAAGAUCUAAAAUCUUUGGAAUUUAGAAGAAAAACUAUUCUGUGCAGCAUAAUAAACCUGUUGGGAAACAGAAGACAAAGUCCUGCCUGAUCUAAAGCCGUGAAAAGCUUUCAACUCACAAGAGAAGAAUUUCCUGGGGGAAUUAACAGACCAGGAAGGAAACCAAGUGGAGAAAAGUGCAGAAUGAGAACUGUGCUCAUAACAUACAGGAAGAGCCAAGAGUUUAGAAAUUGAAAGGUAAUGUUUUUGUAUGAUGAUUUGUCAGUCUGUCACAAGUAUUACCUCUUGAAUGCUUCUGCCUUUGAAAACAGACUCAAAGCCUUUCAGGAUGGUAAAAAUUCAACACAACACUUGAGAGUUAGGGUCCUGGAAUUGGUGUUUAAAAGUGGCUUGCAAACUUGUUUCUGCAAAACAACUGCUACAGAAUGGAUGAAAUAAAAUAAACUUUAUCCACGUGCUUUCAGGGAGCAGAUGUGCUUUAGGCUGUGAUGUUUGGACCAUGCUGACACUGGAUGGCUCAGGUGGCAGCUGCUUUGAGCCACCUCUGAGGUGCACAGCUCUCUUCAUCCAGUGAGAGGAACCCCAGAUUGGACCAGAAUUGGGACAACUUUACAGAGUUCAGUGGAAUUCCCUGAAUUUUCUGAUACAGGCAAGCUUUUUCAAUUGCCGUUCCUGUAAAUACAUGGAGAUGAACCAAAUCAAAAUCGUAUUCACCGAAACACAGAGAACUCACCAAAGAGAAAGAACAUUCUCGUCUUAUUAAAGAAGAAAUUAGGCUUAGCAGAAAUUAAAUAACAUUCUAAUUGCACGAAGCUUUCCUGAGAUGGUUGGAUCACAGGUGCAGCAAUCUCUCUGCAUUUUCUAGAUUUGAAGCCCUGGAAAAGAACAGUGAAAACAUGAACCUGUAAGAGAAACUAUCCAACAGUGAAGGCAAUCACAGUGGAGUUAAGGUACCCAAUUUACAUUGUGGUUGUGUUAGUUAAAGAUCUCAGCUCCAUGUAUGAUAUGAACAAAUAUAUGCAAUCCUCCAAAGUUUGGAAGAACAGCUUGGCACUGCAUCUUUUCAAGGAUAGUACUGAUUGUACGGCAUCGUGUCCAUGAACUUCCAGGGUUCCCAUUAAAAUCUGACAGAACAUCAGAGUACCAGAAGCUUCUCAUAUUGUGGCUCUGGAGCAUUAAUACAACUGUGGUGAAACUGAUUCUGUAACAGUGCACUGACAACAAACUAGUAAGAAAAUGCUGGGUGUGGUGCCCCUGGACUCACCUGUUCGUCGUUAUUGUAACGAGGGAGAGCUGUGAAAUCAGAGAGCAAGUGUUGGACGGGAAGAAGUUGCCAUUUUGUAGCCUGGUCGGAAAGAAAAGGUUGCAGUCUGCAUUGAGCUUGGACUUAAGACCAGCAUGGAUGUGGAAAGGGGUGCUUGAGAAGAGAUCAGUUGGCUGUGAGGAACAGCGUGGAGGCUUCUGAGGCAGCCUGCUUUGUGGUACCAGGCUUUGGGAUUUCUUUUCUACCUGUGUAAACAGGUGAAGUGGAGGCAGCCCGUGAAGUGCUGGGGGAGAGUGAGAUGAUUUCAUGUUUGCCUGGAUACAAGAUCUACUUGUAUGACAUAUCAAAAGCGUUCAGUAAUAGCUCUGCAGGCUUUUUCCUGCAGAACAGCACCAGUUUGGGAACAGCUUCACUGGGCUAAAACUCAGUUGCUCUGUGUGGCAGAGGGCAGCAAGAUAUGUGAUUUCUUGAUGAAAUGGGGAGGCAGCUGAAAAUGAGUGAUAAACAGGACGAGAAGAGGACUCAAACAUUGGAAACACAAAGGCUCUGACUGCUUUCCCUGGCUGGGCUGGGCUGCACGGGAGGUCGCCACAAGACAUUUCUGAGUCAUGUGCUGCAGGUGAGACACUGAGCAUCACCAUCCUGCUGAGCAGGACAGGGGCGUUAAGGGCAGGGGAGGAACAGCCCCAUCAGCCCUGCAGCCCAGCACAGGAGGGGCAGCGCUGCGGCCUCACCCACUGGCACAGCAUUAUGGAAGGAUGGAGUGGGGGGGCAGCUGACUGCAUCAUUGUACUCACAGCUCGUGAGCAGCUGCAGCACUGCUGUGUGCUGGGGUGUGCAUGGGCCGAGCCGGCCAGGACAAGCACGUAAGGGUGAGGCUCACCUCGUGCGUUUCUCUUUCUGUCCCGUUGGUUUUUGAGUGCCCGUUUGUGUUUGAAAGCUACUGCUGCUUUUGCAAUGCUUACUGUCUUCAUUAGCUUCUAGUGAGCACUACUCAUCUCCCCUAGCACCUGCUUUAGGCCCUCCAUUAGCAGCUGUCUAGGUGCACACAGCGCCCUCUGGUGGCGGAAGAGACGAAGCGCAGCCCAGAGUCAGCCGGAGCAGCUGGGGGCCUUCCCCGCAGUGCUGCACAGAAGGGCUGUGCUUUAGCCUUCCCAAAGUUCGAUACUAAUCCUAUUUCGAAGAAGAAAAGCUGGCUUUUAAGAGCGGAGGAAAAGCUCUUUGCACUACAGGAAUACGAAAUACAUUUUCUUAAGAUAUAUUUUACAGAUGUUCUUACAAGUACGUCAAUAUCUGCAAAGAUAUUUUCUACCUCCAGCUAUAGCUACAGCAGCUUUUCCCUUGCUUUCCCUUAGAGCAUCAGGUGCUGACUAACUAAUGAGAUGCCCCCACACCUGCCUUAACAUGCUGCAGCUGUUCCUGAGCUUUCUAGAAACACCUGAAAUCAAAAGCUACCACCAAAGCCAUGUAAAAAAGCCCUUGUCUAAGUAAUGCAAUCCUUUCAGCUGUUAAUCAUGUUUGACACCCCAAAACUCAAACCUUCCCCCCCCCAACCCCGCCCCCCAAAGAAGUACAGAGAGCAAUAAGAAUAAUAGUUUUAAUUAAUACAGAAAGAACACAUGGUACAUUCCAGCAGCAGCAGCUAAUUGCUUUCUACCAUUGGGGAAGAAAAGUUAAGGCUAGUUCAGGGCAACCUGAUACAAAGGUUUGUUUCCCUACCCCAUUCUGCAGACAGUGCUUUGUAAGUUGAAGGAGAUGAUUUGUGCACAAAACAUGAGAUGUUUAUUCAGCAAAACAUCAAGAACAGAGAAAACAUGCUUUGUUACAGUGGGAAAAAUACACAAAGCUUUCAAGCUGCUUUUUACACCAUCUCAGGUCUGAAACCACCAAGUUGCAAUUUGCAGCCAAUUGUGCCCCAGCUUUGUAUUACACAGGCUGGCAGUAGGGACCGUGGUGACCAAGUGAAGUUAAUCUAUUCAAUGGAGUAUAAAGUGCACGAGAAAAAUAAGUGCAUUGAAAUGAACCAACCAUUGCUAUGAGUAACUCCCAUCACACACAGCACUCGCUUAGAACAGCCAUUGCUCCAGCUAUUCAGUACAACACAGCACUGCAUUUCCAAGAGCGGAGUCAAUAACACAUCAUGUAUCAAAGAACUUUAACUGAAGGUAGAUAACUCUGCAGGUUUCUUUCCUCCAGCUACUAAAAGACAGCAACAUUCUGCUGCAGCCUGAAGCGCUUUGGGGCCUGGAUUUGCCUUGGUAAGCACUGAGCACUGCAGUCCUUUUCCUUUUCUCCCAACUUGAAUUGCUUGAAGGCCAUUAGGAGCCCUGUCUUGUAGGUGCUUUCCUAUUCAUCCAUUAAAACCAUCCUUAGCAAGAUUUGAGAGGUGAACCGGGAAGCAAUCAGCAAGGUAAGUGCUAUUAAAGAAUUUAGGGGUGCAUCUGCCAUAUUUCAAAAGGGAAAAAAGACCUGGGACAUUCCCAGAUUAAUUCCAUCCAUCAGUGGUGGGUGUUCAGUCACUGGGACUUUUGUGCCCUCCAUUUACUAGAAGGGCAGGUAUUAAAUGCAGGCUCUGCUCACAUUAACUUAGUCAGCCCCCCUUUGACACGUGCUGAAUUCUGAACUUAUUUUACAGUGGAAGCCAUUUGCUGUGUAAUCCUUCCUGAGACAGAAAAGCAAGGUUAGUUUCCAUGACAUCUCAUUUCCAUUGCUGGAUUACCAUAGAGCAGUCAGCUGAGAAAAAACUGCAGCCAGGAAGCCAAGCAGUUCAUUUAUUCACACCCAUCAUGUACUUCAGUUCAGUGCUGUUGUUAUUAAUAUAUGCUUGUUUUCCUCUUUUAAUUUUCCCCUGGGGGAGGAGGGGGCACCACACUUUGUUCUCCCACUGGGUAAGGAGGUGGCACUAUGAAGUAAAUAGCAGCUGCUCAGUCGUUUUUACCUUACAGUCCCAACCCGCUGCUUCUAUGGCAUCUUUGUCAACACAUCUGAGCAGCUGCAGCUGCUUUCCAAGAGCCAAGAACCGUGGCCAACAACCAGACCCCUCCACUGACAGCUGCUUACAGAAUCCAACAGGUAAAUGAAGCCUUACAGGAAUUCUUUGGGAGAAAAGGAGUUGAAGAACUCCAAGUUGUACUGCAACUAGAGAAUGAGGGUUUUGCCAGGAGCACAGAUGAGAUAAAUAAGGCAAGGGGCCUUGGAAGCCAGGAGAUUAUCAGAGGCAAAAGCAGCAGUGACACAAAAAACUUCUUAGUUCUUGAGAGUGAAAACUCAGAUCACACUUCAUGCAGAUGCCCAGGGUACAGAUGGGUGCUCUCAGCCCUGCUUUGUUUUCCUUAGAGCAGACAGAGCAGGCCUUAGAGCACUACCCUACCUUGCUCUAGCACAGCCCAGUGACAGAGCAUGUCCCCACAAGGAGAUUUUGUUUUCAAGAAGCAUAAAGUAACAUCUACAACACAGGAUCACUCUGCAUCCUCUUUAAAACAGUGGAUAAAGCUUUUCCUGUUGCCUUUUCUAUAUGGAUUUAAUCCCAAGGAGGAAGUUUUCCAUAUAAAACAUCUCAAGUUGAAAAUGUACAGCUCAUAGAGAUAUGCAAUUUGUAAUUAACUCCUUUGUACAACCAGAUUUCACUGUGUACACACACACAUAUAUAUAGCAUUUAGCUACAGAAGUAGCUAAAAAAGCAACAAGGACAAAAAACUCAUUGCAAACAGGAGCCAGACUUCCAAGUGUAUUUUACACAGUACUGAUUUUGCAGCUUUUUCAGGUUAGUUUUCAUUAAGUACUUGGUGUACAGUAGAACUCUCAUCUCCUUGUAUUUCUGGAUCCAUUUUUCCCAUCGGAGAUUUUUAAUAUUCAUUAGUAAUCCUGACAUCAAGAGUCGGACGUGUAGUAAUAUAUUCCUAGGUAGUAGCUUAAUGUAUUGUAUAAAGUCAGUUUUGUUUCACCAAGAACUAGAGUCCAUUUCAAUAUCAUUCCCUGAGGCAGUCCUUCCUUUAUUCUAUCCUCCAGUCAUCUGUAUAGAGUCAUCUGUAUAUCCAGUCUGCUUUCUUUGCAGCUCACAGUUAGACACACAACCUCACACGGCUCAUUCUCAGCAGUUCUCCUUCCCCUGACUGCUCCCUCCAAAAAUCCCAACUUCCCCAACAGCAAAUCAGUGUGCUUGACUUCCACAGGACAGGAACUGAGGUGUUUAAAUAACGGGCAUUCAUUUCGGAAGGUGUAAAUGCAUGAACCGAUAAUGCAGCAGCAGACAGCUAACAGAACAGAAUUAAAACACAAUGAACAGUGUGACGUUUAUCUUAUUAAAACUGAAGUUAUUCUCUUAAAGAACUGAUGGUGCUAAAAAGGCAGCGCUGAGGGGGAGAGAAACAAGAAUUGUCAUCCUUGGUCCAUAGAAACUCACCCAAGCAAUAACACCACAUCUUUACAUUCUCAAUGGACUAAGGAGGUUUCUCCUGAGAAUAACUCCACUUUUUGUUUCAUAUGUCCAUAUACAAUGAAUGCACUUAAAGCUUUAAGUUUUAGUAACUUCAUUUAGACUUUGUUUAUAAAACAAACACACACAAGCACACUUCCUAGAGUGCAAAAUGCUUAAAUACUUCCACACCAGAACUCCACAUGUACUUUUUGGAACAGCGAUCCUUUUGUUCUCAGACUCAACUUCUUCCUCGUCAUCGCAUCCAUCGCCAGCAACGGUUGCAUCAAAACUAACAAAAAAAAAUGCAGAGAACACAGCAGUAGAAAUCUCUUAUCUCGUUCCUUCAGUUUUCCACAGGGCACUGUUCAUUUGUAUAAGCUCAUGGUUGGACUCUGAUACAUGCACAUGUAAGCAUCACAGAGCAGUCUUCGAGCACAACCUUGAAUCUUCCUGGAAUCCAGUGAGUGCAGUUCUUCUACAGACAUCUUCAGGUAUUCACCAACUUCUGGGCACGGGGUGACUUGUGGAAUGUUAAAGCCAUUCUGACCUCCUUUAACGCAUGAGGACAGAAACAGAAUACUGUACAGUCACCGUGGCGACAGAACGUUGUGGAAAGAUCAAAGGAAGCAAAGUGACAUUUUGAAAGAGGACAGAGACCACAACCUUACCACAGUCUUUGUUUCUGAGAUCUCCCCUAACUACUAGAAGGGAGUGUCUCAUUUCAUGGAGACAUGGGCACAGGAAAGUAGUAAAUCCAGUCAGAAAAAGGCUGGAUGCAGAAACUGAUAAAGCUGGGGGUUCCUUAUAGAACAGAGGGAGGGAGGGAAGG
Coturnix japonica (Japanese quail) is the source of this 7769-nucleotide non-coding RNA. Lineage: Eukaryota; Metazoa; Chordata; Aves; Galliformes; Phasianidae. The record is from RefSeq and is a predicted model, not a curated record.